ACUAAACUGGAUCUUGAAACACGUUCAUGAUUGAUGCUUUACAGAGAGUCAAUGCAGGCUGAGAAUUGACAAGCAAAUAUCAUGGUCAUCAUUCAAGGAGUUAGAAGCUGAAUGUAGUAGGUUUCUACGUCUAUCCGCGUUAAGGAUACAGAGGAUAAGUAGAAAAGCUCUAGUGGGCUGAUACUUUUCAAACUAAGGUGGUACCACGAAGAUUUCGUCCUUUCG
RNAcentral lists this non-coding RNA (225 nucleotides) under Alkalibacterium sp. RNAcentral describes it as "T-box sequence". It matches the Rfam family "T-box leader". Rfam says of the family: Uncharged tRNA acts as the effector for transcription antitermination of genes in the T-box leader family. T-boxes are found upstream of many aminoacyl-tRNA synthetase genes and some amino acid biosynthetic genes usually in Gram-positive bacteria. Lineage: Bacteria; Bacillati; Bacillota; Bacilli; Lactobacillales; Carnobacteriaceae. The record is from RNAcentral.